This 617-nucleotide ribosomal RNA is filed under the name Nephanes titan. Its description in RNAcentral is "SSU rRNA". It matches the Rfam family "Eukaryotic small subunit ribosomal RNA", at positions 10 to 608 of the family's 1831-position model. Lineage: Eukaryota; Metazoa; Arthropoda; Insecta; Coleoptera; Ptiliidae. The record is from RNAcentral.
GAUCCUGCCAGUAGUCAUAUGCUUGUCUCAAAGAUUAAGCCAUGCAUGUCUCAGUACAAGCCAAAUUAAGGUGAAACCGCGAAAGGCUCAUUAAAUCAGUUAUGGUUCCUUAGAUCGUACCCACAAUUACUUGGAUAACUGUGGUAAUUCUAGAGCUAAUACAUGCAAACAGAGCCCCGACCGGAGACGGAAGGGGUGCUUUUAUUAGAUCAAAAUCAAUCGGCGGCGUUCACGCGUCGUCGUGCGUUUUGGUGACUCUGGAUAACUAUGUGCUGAUCGCACGGUCUCGUACCGGCGACGCAUCUUUCAAAUGUCUGCCUUAUCAACUGUCGAUGGUAGGAUCUGCGCCUACCAUGGUUGUAACGGGUAACGGGGAAUCAGGGUUCGAUUCCGGAGAGGGAGCCUGAGAAACGGCUACCACAUCCAAGGAAGGCAGCAGGCGCGCAAAUUACCCACUCCCGGCACGGGGAGGUAGUGACGAAAAAUAACGAUGCGGGACUCAUCCGAGGCCCCGUAAUCGGAAUGAGUACAGUCUAAACCUCUUAACGAGGAUCAAUUGGAGGGCAAGUCUGGUGCCAGCAGCCGCGGUAAUUCCAGCUCCAAUAGCGUAUAUUAAA